UGAGAGAAUAUUGGUCAAUGGGCGCAAGCCUGAACCAGCCAUCCCGCGUGAAGGAAGAAGGAGCGAUACGUUGUAAACUUCUUUUCCAGGGGGUGAAUAAAGCCGAUGUAUCGGGAGAUGACGGUACCCUGGGAAUAAGCAUCGGCUAACUCCGUGCCAGCAGCCGCUCUAUUACGGAGGAUGCGAGCGUUAUCCGGAUUUAUUGGGUUUAAAGGGGUGCGUAGGCGGAACAAUAAGUCAGUGUGAAAUUCUGCAGCUUAACUGUAGACUUGCCGUUGAUACUGUUGGCCUUGAGUAUGGUCAAGGCAGGCGGAAUGUGUAAUGUAGCGGUGAAAUGCUUUAAAUUUUACACAGAAACCCCCGUUUGCGAAGCAGCUUUGCUGGGGCCA
This 389-nucleotide ribosomal RNA is filed under the name uncultured Bacteroidota bacterium. RNAcentral describes it as "bacterial SSU rRNA". It matches the Rfam family "Bacterial small subunit ribosomal RNA", at positions 354 to 736 of the family's 1533-position model. The record is from RNAcentral. Lineage: Bacteria; Pseudomonadati; Bacteroidota.